GCGCUGGCUCCGCCCAAGGCGACCCGCGGGAGGGGUUGCCGCCCUCAGAAGAUGGCGGACGGCGAGGCAGCUCCCGCGCAGCAGGAAGGGGAAAUGUCGGCGGCCGGCCCGGGCGUCCGGAGGGAGCGGCAGCACCGCGGCGGCGGUCGUCCGCCCAGCGCGCGAGAUUUACAGUUGGCCUUGGCAGAAUUGUAUGAAGAUGAAGCUAAAAGGCAGUCAUUGCGUCCUGACAAACCAACGACAACAAAGAUGAGUAACUCAAAGGGUCUUAAAAUAGAUUCUUUCAGAAGCUUAAGAAAACCGGAGAGAAGCAUGAGUGAUGAUAAAGAAAACCAAAGAUUUUAUUCAGGUGACUCAGAAUACAGCGGAUUACAAAUUUCUGGGGCUUCUAACAAUCCGAGUAAAAUUGUUGCUGAACUCUUCAAAGAAGCAAAAGAACACGGGGCUGUACCACUAGAUGAAGCCUCAAGAACAUCUGGUGACUUCAGUAAAGCUAAGUCAUUUUCUGGUGGUGGAUAUAGAUUGGGUGACUCGUCUCAAAAGCACUCUGAAUAUAUAUAUGGAGAAAAUCAAGAUGUUCAAAUUUUGCUGAAACUGUGGAGGAAUGGCUUCAGUUUAGAUGAUGGAGAAUUGAGAUCCUAUUCAGACCCAAUAAAUGCUCAGUUUCUUGAGUCUGUUAAAAGAGGGGAAAUUCCUGUGGAACUGCAGCGACUUGUUCAUGGUGGCCAGGUUAACCUGGAUAUGGAAGACCACCAGGAGCAGGAAUACGUGAAGCCAAGGCUGCGAUUCAAAGCUUUCAGUGGAGAAGGGCAAAAGCUUGGAAGUCUUACACCUGAAAUAGUCAGCACACCUUCAUCUCCAGAGGAGGAGGACAAAUCCAUUCUUAACGCACCUGUUCUGAUUGAUGAUUCUGUUCCAGCAACUAAAAUUCAAAUCAGAUUAGCUGAUGGAAGCCGAUUAAUACAAAGAUUUAAUCAAACACACAGGAUUAAAGAUAUUCGAGAUUUCAUUAUCCAGUCCCGUCCAGCAUUUGCAUCAACUGAUUUUGUUCUUGUGACGACUUUUCCAAAUAAAGAGCUAACAGAUGAAAGCCUGACACUACGAGAAGCAGAUAUACUUAACACUGUGAUUCUCCAGCAAUUAAAGUAAUCUUAGAGCUGUUGCUAACAGAAGCAGUAUGUGCUGUAUUGUCAUACAAUGUUUUCAAUAGAUGAAAAAAAGAAGGAUCGAUGUCUUUAUUCUUCCACUUCCAUAGAUCAGAUUUUUAGGUUUCAUGUCUUCCAGCUAUAGCGUGUCUUAUUUUAAUUACUCAGCAUUGUUUAACCCCCUUUCAGUGUUAAAUUGAGCUUCCCUUUGUUAGUAUGUUUCAAACAAUGCCAUGUAUGAGAUGUGAGCUAUCACUCUUCAGUGUUUUAUGGAGGGGGGUGGGAGAGGAGGUGAAGAAUUUUUCUGGAGGGGACAAUGUAUUUCACACAGUUGGUAAGAUUUGCACUAUGGAAAUGUUUUAUGCUGCACUGACAAACAGCCAUGUGAAAAAAACGUAGCCUGUAGGUUAUGUUUACCUUCCAAGCUGUAUUAUCAUUAAGGUAUUCUGUUUGAUAGGUUGACAGAUAAUUAAUGCUGUAUUAUAAGUUUUGUAUAUUCUGUUUCUAGUGUUUCAUGGUGUAGUAUAAUUAUUUAUAUUCUAAUUCUUAUGUAAAUAUCCUUAUAUUGUUGUUUUGAGGGGAUCAGUAUCAGGAGAUGCAAAGCUCAGCUCUUGCAGACUAUAACAGUGUUCUAAUUUGUAUUCUGGUUGUUCUACUUGUGGUGUAAAUUAAGUAUGAAUUUCUUUUCUUCUGAAGUUAGGGAAAUGAGAAGGACUACUGUCAUCUGAAGAACUGCUGUGAUGUAGACUUUGUGAGGCUAACACAAGGCACAAAGCUGUUCUUGGAAUGAAGAUCUAUGUGAACGUGUAACUAAGACUGGCUACAGGGAAGAAGGGAGUAUGAAAACAGAACUGGUGGAAGAUCUCUUACAGAGCAAGGCUAUUGAGGUAUUUGGAAGUUCCUUUUAGCUUCUGUGAAAUACAAGUGAUAAUGCUAUCACACCUCUAGGCAGCUUAUGAAAGGCUCAGGCUUGACCUUUGCUUGCCUUUUACAGAAAUCCUUUAUCACACAAGACCCAAACAAUCCAAAAGUAAAUGUUUUCUGUUGAAAACCUGGGCUUGAAAGCUUGUGCUUUUUUUGGACACCACUACCAUUUUUGUAAUCAUUUAUUCUGGGCAAACAUAAUCAGGCUUGUUGGUUUGGAUGUUUUUUCAGCAGCAUUUUGAGAAGUUUGUAAACAUUCUGCCUUAAUCUGACUAGUGGUUGCACUUGUUGUGUAUGCUAACAACUAGAUCGUGCUGUUCUCACUCUUAAUGCAAAUCUUUCUUAAUAUUAAAUGAACCAAGUAAGAGCUUCUAAGUGCUCAGAGGUGCAGUUUGCAGCUCCUGCUUAGUUGCUUGCACUAAGGGAAAGCUCCCACGAUCUUUAAAUGGCAUUGUUCUGCAGGAGGAUCAGACUGUUCCUUCUCUUUGCUUGUGCUGUUCAAGCCUGUCAGGCCUCAGCCAAGGCAUGUGCAGUUCUAUGGGCAGAUGAGGCAGUGAAUGGCAAGAGUAUAGAAUAAUAAGGAUUGAAAUGAUGUCACACAGAGAGCAGUGAGCUUGUGUUAUUUCUGUGAGUUGUAUAUUGUUGGAGUGGGGUUUCGAAAAGUUUAAGACUAGGAUUUUUCAGCUGAUGUUCAGCUGAUCAUCAACUGUUUGAAGUUAAACUUCAAAAACCCAAUGAUUAAUGCAGUGAUAAAUGGCAGUAGGCAGCAAUUGUGUUGAACACUUAGUGAAUUAUAGCAAUCAGAUCAAACUGUAUCCUUAAUGCAGCUAAAUGUUGAGGUAUGAAUCUGGAACUAACUGUGGAAGGCACGAAUAGUCUAGAAAGUACUGACCCUGAAAAGGAGAUGGAUGACAGCAAGAAAAAAAUUCAGCAGAACUGCCCCUACUCCUCUGAGGUUUAUGGAGUUUUCUUUAUGGCUGGGAGAUUACUUUUAUCCAUAUGUUUGUUAGUAGUGAACUCAAUACUUCUAUGGUGCUUGUCUUGCUGAAGAGCUUUGGAAUUAGGAAAAUAAGUAGAAAUAAUUUAAGAGCUGAAGAAAUUACCUUAAAGCUCAAAACAGGGUAGCUUAUUGGGUAGAAGACGGAGAGCUGAGCUGAUUUACAGAGGGCAUUCAUUCAGGGGGUGGGAUUAUAGUAUUAUAGGGCUCUAGUAGAAAAAAAGCAUAAUGAAAAUUAGAAUCUUGUACAGAGAUGGAAGAUCAGAUAUUUUUGAAGAGAAAUUAAAACACAUUCUUUAAUAUAUGAACUACUGCAACGAAUCCACUUGAGAAUCAACUGCUAUUUUAAUUCUCAUUGUUAUGGUGGUUUUCUUUAAGAUUUGGUUACAAACACAGUAUGUAUGGGUUUUUUUACUGUGACAAGAUAGAAUGAAAUGGUUUAGUAUUUGAAGAGCAGUUUAUUUGGCUUUUGGCUUGUGAUACUUGCAAUUAAUAGUUUGUGAUGGCUGUUUCAUGCUAACUACUUCACUGUGCAUCUUCAAUAUUUCCAUUAAGAAAAGCUGGACAUGAGGCAGCAGUGUGUCCUUGCAGCCCAAAAGGCCAGCUGUAUCCUAGAGUGCAUCAGAAAAGGGGUGCCCAGCAGGGAGAGGGAGGAGAUUGUUCUCCCUCUACUCUGCCCUUGUAAGACCCCUACCUGGAGAACUGUGUCCAGGCUUGGGGCACCUAGUACAGGAAGGGUGUGGAGCUGUUGGAAUGGGUCCGGAGAAGGCCAUGAAGAUGAUCAGAGGGCUGGAGCA
Molecule: non-coding RNA, 3863 nt
Organism: Phasianus colchicus (ring-necked pheasant)
Lineage: Eukaryota; Metazoa; Chordata; Aves; Galliformes; Phasianidae
Source: RefSeq, a predicted model, not a curated record